RNAcentral lists this ribosomal RNA (425 nucleotides) under uncultured cyanobacterium. RNAcentral describes it as "bacterial SSU rRNA". It matches the Rfam family "Bacterial small subunit ribosomal RNA", at positions 357 to 796 of the family's 1533-position model. Lineage: Bacteria; Bacillati; Cyanobacteriota. The record is from RNAcentral.
GGGAAUUUUCCGCAAUGGGCGAAAGCCUGACGGAGCAAUACCGCGUGAGGGAUGACGGCCUAUGGGUUGUAAACCUCUUUUUUCAGGGAGGAAUCAGUGACGUGUACCUGAAGAAUAAGCAUCGGCUAACUCCGUGCCAGCAGCCGCGGUAAGACGGAGGAUGCAAGUGUUAUCCGGAAUCACUGGGCGUAAAGCGUCUGUAGGUGGUUUAAUAAGUCAACUGUUAAAUCUUGAGGCUCAACCUCAAAAUCGCAGUCGAAACUAUUAGACUAGAGUAUAGUAGGGGUAAAGGGAAUUUCCAGUGGAGCGGUGAAAUGCGUAGAUAUUGGAAGGAACACCGAUGGCGAAGGCACUUUACUGGGCUAUUACUAACACUCAGAGACGAAAGCUAGGGUAGCAAAUGGGAUUAGAUACCCCAGUAGUCA